This 449-nucleotide long non-coding RNA is filed under the name Medicago truncatula (barrel medic). RNAcentral describes it as "long non-coding RNA (MTRU_LNC006318)". The record is from RNAcentral. Lineage: Eukaryota; Viridiplantae; Streptophyta; Magnoliopsida; Fabales; Fabaceae.
UGCUGAUUGUUCUCAAAUACAACAGGGUGCAAGUUGUUACAGUCCUGUUACUUUGCAGAACCAUGCUUCUUUUGCCUUCAACAGUUACUAUCAAAAGAAGCCAGCUCCAACAAGUUGCGACUUUGGAGGCGCUGCUAUGUUAGUUAGCUCAAAUCCAAGUAAGAUUUAAACAUUUAAAUAACCCUUGUUUUUUCUUUCUUUCAAUCUCAUGCUUCAAAAUAUUGAUGAUCAUUUUUUAUAGGUUCUGGUUCUUGCAUUUAUCCGUCAUCAUCUUCGUCGUCAUCGUCAACCUCAACUUCACCAAUGAUAUCAUCUCCAGCACCACCUACACAAUCAACUUCAACUUCAAUACCACCACCAAGUCUAACAACACCUUCACCAUCUAUUCCAACAAUAGCUCCACCAACAAUGUCAACAGCUCCAUCAUCAAUUCCAACAGCUCCACCAAC